This 253-nucleotide ribosomal RNA is filed under the name uncultured bacterium. RNAcentral's name for it is "partial 16S ribosomal RNA". It matches the Rfam family "Bacterial small subunit ribosomal RNA", at positions 524 to 776 of the family's 1533-position model. The record is from RNAcentral.
UACGUAGGGUGCGAGCGUUAAUCGGAAUUACUGGGCGUAAAGCGUGCGCAGGCGGUUCGCCAAGUCAGGUGUGAAAUCCCCGGGCUUAACCUGGGAAUGGCAUUUGGGACUGCAAGGCUCGAGUGCGGCAGAGGAGACUGGAAUUCCUGGUGUAGCAGUGAAAUGCGUAGAUAUCAGGAGGAACACCGAUGGCGAAGGCAGGUCUCUGGGCUGACACUGACGCUCAUGCACGAAAGCGUGGGGAGCAAACAGG